RNAcentral lists this ribosomal RNA (501 nucleotides) under Haemaphysalis longicornis (longhorned tick). Its description in RNAcentral is "Eukaryotic large subunit ribosomal RNA". It matches the Rfam family "Eukaryotic large subunit ribosomal RNA", at positions 1896 to 2354 of the family's 3401-position model. Lineage: Eukaryota; Metazoa; Arthropoda; Arachnida; Ixodida; Ixodidae. The record is from Rfam by way of RNAcentral.
CAAUGUAGGUAAGGGAAGUCGGCAAAACGGAUCCGUAACCUUGGGAAAAGGAUUGGCUCUGAGGCUGAGCCGGUCGGGCUGGGGGUCAAGAAGCAGAAUGGCACUACACCGGGACUGGGCGGUGCUCGCCGCCGUAAAAAAGCGGUGCGGUGCGGCCGAGCCCCGGACCAGCGUCGGGACCUUCCUGUGGAAAGCCGCAGCUGUGCUUGUUUCCUUGGGAUUCGUGCCUGGAGGUUCUUGCCUCGGCCGGCAGAAAACAGCUAACUCAGAACUGGCACGGACCGGGGGAAUCCGACUGUCUAAUUAAAAACAAAAGCAUUGCCAGGGGCCGCUGGUCGGUGCUCACGCAAUGUGAUUUCUGCCCUGUGCUCUGAAUGUCAACGUGAAGAAAUUCAAAAAAGCUCGGGUAAACGGCGAAAGUAACCAUACGCUUUUGCUGGCGGCAGUUGCCGUGGUCGCGCAUUAGUGGUCGACAAGAGUCUUGCGGUCGUGUGCCUACGG